This 448-nucleotide ribosomal RNA is filed under the name uncultured bacterium. RNAcentral's name for it is "bacterial SSU rRNA". It matches the Rfam family "Bacterial small subunit ribosomal RNA", at positions 329 to 794 of the family's 1533-position model. The record is from RNAcentral.
AACCAGACUCCUACGGGAGGCAGCAGUGGGGAAUAUUGCACAAUGGGGGAAACCCUGAUGCAGCGACGCCGCGUGAGUGAAGAAGUAUUUCGGUAUGUAAAGCUCUAUCAGCAGGGAAGAAAAUGACGGUACCUGACUAAGAAGCCCCGGCUAACUACGUGCCAGCAGCCGCGGUAAUACGUAGGGGGCAAGCGUUAUCUGGAUUUACUGGGUGUAAAGGGAGCGUAGACGGCAGAGCAAGUCUGAAGUGAAAGCCCGCGGCCCAACUGCGGGACUGCUUUGGAAACUGCCCGGCUAGAGUGCUGGAGAGGUAAGCGGAAUUCCUAGUGUAGCGGUGGAAUGCGUAAAUAUUAGGAGGAACACCAGUGGCGAAGGCGGCUUACUGGGCUUUAACUGACGCUGAGGCUCGAAAGCGUGGGGAGCAAACAGGAUUAGAUACCCCAGUAAU